UAAGCAGAAGCCAAUUUUUGGGCGCCUAACUGUUAAUUAGGAAGUUGUAAAAUUCUUUUACCUGUUUAG
RNAcentral lists this transfer RNA (69 nucleotides) under Astralium haematragum. RNAcentral's name for it is "tRNA-Asn". Lineage: Eukaryota; Metazoa; Mollusca; Gastropoda; Trochida; Turbinidae. The record is from RNAcentral.